AUCCAUUCAUUCUCUGUCUUUUUCUCCAAUCCAGGGAGCAACCAGACCGUUUAGCAGCCCCCUUGCAGUGGAGACUCCCAGCCUAAAGAGAGAGGAAGGAAAAGA
Molecule: non-coding RNA, 105 nt
Organism: Pseudonaja textilis
Lineage: Eukaryota; Metazoa; Chordata; Lepidosauria; Squamata; Elapidae
Source: RefSeq, a predicted model, not a curated record